UCCUCAGCUCUGUUGCUGAUUCUUCUUCCGGGAAACAAAGUGGUGGGUAGUCAAAAGAUCUCUUCCCACUGCUGUCAGUGUUGGGGCUGAGAUACUGUUUAGUGCUGUGGAGCCCUGGCCCAGGUCCCACCCGUCCCAGGCCCCUGCCUCGAGGGAGUUUAGUGUGAGACAAAUGAGAGACCAACUCCAUGUAGCAAAGAGUGGACGGCCUGGGAAAAACAUGUAAACACUCCUGUAAGAGGGAGGAGUUUGAACGCCUAGGCAGGAAGCAUAAGAGGCAGCCUGGGAUGUGCUGGGCACAGCAAUCCGGGCUGCUGCUGUCACUAGCCGGUGGGGGCAUCAGCAGGGCUCAACAGGCGAUGGACAGGAAGUAGUUUGAGAAUACUGUGGAACAUGAGAACACAGCACGGCCCGAACCAAGUGCAGCGUUCUGUCGGAGAGACAGCACAUGUCUACACAGCCGCCCCGGAGCCGGAGUCAGAGGCGGCUGGUGGGUGCCUGAUGUGUGUGUUGGGAUCUGAACUCCGGUUCUCUGCAACAGCAGUUGACGCUCUGAAUUUCUCCAGGCCCUAAACGUACUAUCAAGAAACACGAAUGCACGGAUUCUUCACAGCCACCGCAGUCUGGGUACUACAGUUUGAAAUUCUGAGUCCUUGAGAAUUAAACCACCCCACUUUACUUUGCUGACAAGAGACUAAGCCGAUCUCUAGUACCAGGAGAAUCUUCUGCCUUGAGUUUCACUCCUGAGAGGGGCCGCCUUUUCACACCCCAGACAGACCUGUGCGUCCAACCCAUCAGUUGACUAGCAGCAGAAAACUCCAAAGGAGGGGGCUCACACAGCACAGCGGCGUGGACAUCCAUCCCCGCCAUCCCAGCACUCCGGAGGCAGGCAGAGACUCCGACGCUUGUCUUUUCCUGAUGCUCAUCACUCAUUUGCCGGAGGAAACACCACUCGGUCUCCAUGUGCCUGCUGACAUGCCGUCACAUCCUUCUGUGCACUGACUUUAGUUAUUUCUUAUAGUAAGAUUCAUCUAUCGGGAAGGCACGCAAAGACACGCACAAAGUAUCUGUUUAAUUCUUGUAGCUCCCACAACACCUCAUGAGACCCCAGACAUAGAGUAAAUGCUUGGUGAGUGUCUACAGACCAUACAAAAGAAACGAGGUAGUUCUGUGAUUAGGGACAACACAGAUGAAACCCAGCACAGUAAUGUUAAGUGGAAUAAGCCAUCACGGAAAGACAAACUCUGCAUGGCCUCACUCACAGGUGGAGUAGAACAAACUUGACCUCACAGAAGCCGAGAGCAGGAUGGUGGUUACGGGGCUUAGGGAAGUAGGGAGGAGGUAAGGGGCCGGCUCGGUGACAGCAAAGCAAGGAGCUGUGUGUGCACGGCAGGAUCAUGACAGACAAGUCACUGUCAAUUUUAAAAAGCAACAAGAGGGGCUGGAGAAACGGUUCAGUCACCAAGAGCACUGGCUGCUCUUACAGAGGAUCUGGGCUUGGUUGUUUCCAGACUCACAAAGAGGCUUUAGCUCCAGGUGAUCUGAUGCCCUCUACUGGCCUCUGCUGGCACUGCACCCAAUUGGUGUAUACACACACACACA
This is a long non-coding RNA of Peromyscus leucopus (white-footed mouse), 1602 nucleotides long. RefSeq lists it as uncharacterized. The transcript has 3 exons. Lineage: Eukaryota; Metazoa; Chordata; Mammalia; Rodentia; Cricetidae. The record is from RefSeq and is a predicted model, not a curated record.